This 99-nucleotide ribosomal RNA is filed under the name Kyonemichthys rumengani. Its description in RNAcentral is "partial 16S ribosomal RNA". Lineage: Eukaryota; Metazoa; Chordata; Actinopteri; Syngnathiformes; Syngnathidae. The record is from RNAcentral.
CUACCCUAAGCUAGCCAUAAAUAAUAAUUAAUAUAAAUAUUUAUCUAACCCAUAAUACACCAUAAAUAAAAACUAAAACAUUCGUCCACCUAAGUAAAG